UCCCUGGUGGUCCAGCGGUUAGAACUCUGCGCUUCCACUGCAGGAGGCGUGGGUUAGAUCCUCAGCUGGGGAA
Molecule: transfer RNA, 73 nt
Filed under: Bos taurus (domestic cattle)
Lineage: Eukaryota; Metazoa; Chordata; Mammalia; Artiodactyla; Bovidae
Also listed under: 2 other names
Rfam family: tRNA
About the family: Transfer RNA (tRNA) molecules are approximately 80 nucleotides in length. Their secondary structure includes four short double-helical elements and three loops (D, anti-codon, and T loops).
Source: Rfam by way of RNAcentral